UUUGUUUUAUGUUUUCCCCAUAAUUGGAGGCACAAGGCACGAGUGUCAGAAUUAACCAUAAAAUAUUGAGCUUUAAAAACAAAAAAAAGAAAUUAAGUUUUGGCGAUGGGCUCAAAGCGCUCUCAUCCAUGUGUGCAGCUCUAAGAAACAAGUUGAAGAUGCAAGAAUGUCAGCACCACAGGGCCUCGAUAGAAAGACUGAGGCUGCCACCAAACAGCCUGAGGACAUGACCCCCUUGUCCUGAAAGACCCUGAAAUGACACUUCUCUGACCCACCAUUGCAUCUGUAUCCCGUGAGCCAAGAAAACCAAUCAUGCAGCAUCAUCUCCAGUGUCCUGUCCAAAUCAAAUAAAAAGGACAUCUGCUCAGAGGAAACCAGGUUAGAGUACUUAACAAUAUUAAAAAAUUUCAAACCACUGUAGAUGCUCCUUCACCGUAGAACAUGACACAGGGAUUUGGUUGAAUCCACUGACUGUUUCUGAUUACUUGAUUUAAAUGUUGUUAAUUUUAACAUGACAUUUCAAAUCACCAUGAAACUGAAGGUUUUCUGAGUUCCUAUGUUUAAGUGUACCAAUUUUAUAUUUGAGCAUUUAUCUUAAUUUUAUAAAUCACCUGCUGAGUAAAAACCUUCUGAAUAGGAGCAAAACUGGAAAGUUUGGUGUAUGCAAGUGCUUUUGCAAAAAAUGGCCUUUAAACAAAUAUUAUACAAGACACAAACAGAAAUGUCAUGAUUCUGCCCCAUGACUUUUUGUUGACUCCUUAAGUCUACUUGUUUUCUUCAUGGAUGCUUGUUUGAUGUUGAUUUGGUUGUUCCCUGGUUGCGCUUUUUCCUUGUGUGUUGGGUGUAUUGGUUUCUUGGACCCUUGGUUCCUGUUUUAUAUUGAAGUAGUUCUAUUCUAUUGUCUCACCUGUGCUUCCCUUUGUCUGUGCUGGGUCGUCUUGUUGUCUUCCCCAGUAUCUUCCUGUUGUUUUCCCCCAGUCGUUUUCCUGAGGAGUCCGUCCGUGUGUAUUUUUCCCCAGUGCUUCCAGACUUUGUUU
Long non-coding RNA from Scophthalmus maximus (turbot), 1037 nucleotides. RefSeq lists it as uncharacterized. The transcript has 3 exons. Lineage: Eukaryota; Metazoa; Chordata; Actinopteri; Pleuronectiformes; Scophthalmidae. The record is from RefSeq and is a predicted model, not a curated record.